AUUGAACGCUGGCGGCAUGCCUUACACAUGCAAGUCGAACGGCAGCACGGGAGCAAUCCUGGUGGCGAGUGGCGAACGGGUGAGUAAAGUAUCGGAACGUGCCCAGUCGUGGGGGAUAACGUAGCGAAAGUUACGCUAAUACCGCAUACGAUCUAUGGAUGAAAGCGGGGGAUCGCAAGACCUCGCGCGAUUGGAGCGGCCGAUAUCAGAUUAGGUAGUGGGUGGGGUAAAGGCUCACCAAGCCGACGAUCUGUAGCUGGUCUGAGAGGACGACCAGCCACACUGGGACUGAGACACGGCCCAGACUCCUACGGGAGGCAGCAGUGGGGAAUUUUGGACAAUGGGCGCAAGCCUGAUCCAGCCAUGCCGCGUGCAGGAUGAAGGCCUUCGGGUUGUAAACUGCUUUUGUACGGAACGAAAAGGUUUGGCUUAAUACGUUGAACUCAUGACGGUACCGUAAGAAUAAGCACCGGUUAACUACGUGCCAGCCGCCGCCGUAA
This 500-nucleotide ribosomal RNA is filed under the name uncultured bacterium. RNAcentral describes it as "partial 16S ribosomal RNA". It matches the Rfam family "Bacterial small subunit ribosomal RNA", at positions 30 to 523 of the family's 1533-position model. The record is from RNAcentral.